Molecule: small nucleolar RNA, 76 nt
Organism: Mastacembelus armatus (zig-zag eel)
Lineage: Eukaryota; Metazoa; Chordata; Actinopteri; Synbranchiformes; Mastacembelidae
Product: small nucleolar RNA SNORD47
Source: Ensembl
GACCUGUGAUGAAAAGAUUCUGCCAAAUGAUUUGUGUUGAUUAUAACCCAUACCGUUCCAUUUUAUUCUGAUGGUU